RNAcentral lists this ribosomal RNA (178 nucleotides) under Punica granatum (pomegranate). RNAcentral describes it as "5.8S ribosomal RNA". The stretch from base 19 to 174 matches the Rfam family "5.8S ribosomal RNA". From Rfam's summary of the family: 5.8S ribosomal RNA (5.8S rRNA) is a component of the large subunit of the eukaryotic ribosome. Lineage: Eukaryota; Viridiplantae; Streptophyta; Magnoliopsida; Myrtales; Lythraceae. The record is from RNAcentral.
CUCGUGCGUAACCACAACGACUCUCGGCAACGGAUAUCUCGGCUCUCGCAUCGAUGAAGAACGUAGCGAAAUGCGAUACUUGGUGUGAAUUGCAGAAUCCCGUGAACCAUCGAGUCCUUGAACGCAAGUUGCGCCCGAAGCCAUCCGGCCGAGGGCACGUCUGCCUGGGCGUCACGCA